Molecule: ribosomal RNA, 253 nt
Filed under: uncultured bacterium
Lineage: Bacteria
Description: partial 16S ribosomal RNA
Rfam family: Bacterial small subunit ribosomal RNA
Source: RNAcentral
UACGAGGGGGGCGAGCGUUGUUCGGAAUUAUUGGGCGUAAAGGGUGCGUAGGCGGUUUGGUAAGUCUUAUGUGAAAUCUACAGGCUCAACUUGUAGUCUGCAUGAGAAACUGCCGGGCUUGAGUGUGGGAGAGGUGAGUGGAAUUCCUGGUGUAGCGGUGAAAUGCGUAGAUAUCAGGAGGAACACCUGUGGUGUAGACAGCUUACUGGACCAUUUCUGACGCUGAGACACGAAAGCGUGGGUAGCAAACAGG